Pygocentrus nattereri (red-bellied piranha) is the source of this 209-nucleotide small nuclear RNA. Its record names the gene U2. It matches the Rfam family "U2 spliceosomal RNA". From Rfam's summary of the family: U2 is a small nuclear RNA (snRNA) component of the spliceosome (involved in pre-mRNA splicing). Complementary binding between U2 snRNA (in an area lying towards the 5' end but 3' to hairpin I) and the branchpoint sequence (BPS) of the intron results the bulging out of an unpaired adenosine, on the BPS, which initiates a nucleophilic attack at the intronic 5' splice site, thus starting the first of two transesterification reactions that mediate splicing. The record is from Ensembl. Lineage: Eukaryota; Metazoa; Chordata; Actinopteri; Characiformes; Serrasalmidae.
GAUGCUUCUUAGCCUUUUGGCUAACAUCAAUUGUAGUAUCUGUUCUUGUCAAUUUAAUAUCUGUAAAUACCAAGCUCUCUCAAGAAGAGGUUUGGAAAUGCUUAGGCCAGCACAGUGACAGAUCACAAUAUAUGUGAUAAAAUCACAAUCUGCCAAUGUGCAUUAAUUAUAAUGUUUAUUGUUGAGAAUGCACUGAGGAUGUAUCCCAU